RNAcentral lists this long non-coding RNA (199 nucleotides) under Vigna radiata. Its description in RNAcentral is "long non-coding RNA (VRAD_LNC008634)". The record is from RNAcentral. Lineage: Eukaryota; Viridiplantae; Streptophyta; Magnoliopsida; Fabales; Fabaceae.
GAGGACGUUGAUUGACCAUCUCCUCAAGAUUUGGUUCAACGGUCUCAAAUGGAGUAACUUCUGGAGAAAGAGAUCUUUCACAAAAAGGGCGUCUCUUCCUCCUCUCGUAUGGUAGACCUUCUAGCAAAGGUUGUUGGUUUUUCCUGCUUCUAGUAUGUAUUGUCUCCUGCAUGCACAAGAAACACACCCUAAAAGCACU